GACGGGGGAUGCAAGUGUUAUCCGGAAUCACUGGGCGUAAAGCGACUGUAGGUGGUUUAAUAAGUCAACUGUUAAAUCUUGAGGCUCAACCUCGAAAUCGCAGUCGAAACUAUUAGACUAGAGUAUAGUAGGGGUAAAGGGAAUUUCCAGUGGAGCGGUGAAAUGCGUAGAUAUUGGAAAGAACACCGAUGGCGAAGGCUCUUUACUGGGCUAUUACUAACACUGAGAGACGAAAGCUAGGGUAGCAAAUGGG
Molecule: ribosomal RNA, 253 nt
Filed under: uncultured bacterium
Lineage: Bacteria
Description: partial 16S ribosomal RNA
Rfam family: Bacterial small subunit ribosomal RNA
Source: RNAcentral